AUAUAUCUAUUCUCCCUCUCUCUUUCUCUUCCCAUGUCUUCUCCUCCGCCGGACCUUGCUACUGUGAAAUAAUAUUUUUUUCAGCUUUCUGCAAUUUUAUUCAGCUCGCCUGCAUUUUUGGCUUGAUUAUAUUCUCUGUCUUCAGUUUAAUAUUGCCCGUUACAACUUUGGAUUAAGAUAUUUAAAGGAGAAUCUAUUGAUGUGCAAAAUGUUAAGAUUGUCAUCUCUUUAACAUACUUGAAGGAUCAUUUAGAAUGCUGCUUUGACAAGCUUUUCAAACUUUCAGAAUUUCUGUUAAAGAACGCGAAGUUUUUGGAGAAAGUCUCCGUUAUUUCGCCAGUAAUUACGUGCUAAUUGUCGGCAACCGGAGGCAACGGUGAUGACGAGUGAGGACUGGAUACUGAUGCUGCUUCAACGAGGCAACAUUAGG
This 430-nucleotide long non-coding RNA is filed under the name Nicotiana benthamiana. RNAcentral's name for it is "long non-coding RNA (NBEN_LNC032131)". The record is from RNAcentral. Lineage: Eukaryota; Viridiplantae; Streptophyta; Magnoliopsida; Solanales; Solanaceae.